Long non-coding RNA from Hemicordylus capensis (graceful crag lizard), 526 nucleotides. RefSeq lists it as uncharacterized. The transcript has 3 exons. The record is from RefSeq and is a predicted model, not a curated record. NCBI's taxonomy places the organism in Eukaryota, Metazoa, Chordata, Lepidosauria, Squamata, Cordylidae.
GAGCGAGUGAGCUGGAGGUUACAGAAGAAGGAAGAGAGUCAGGAAGUCUGCUACACUGAGUCCAGGAAAGCAGAGAGUGAGCAGCCAGCAAGAAGAGAAGCCUAGCUGAAAUCACUAGAAGAAAAGGAAGAGCCAGGCUUGAGCCCCAGAGCUGUGCUGAAAAUAGAACAAGAGACUACCCAGCAAGCCAGAAGCAGAAAAGAAAGCACAGAGGACUCUGAGUAGGGACCAGUAUAGAGACAGGAAAAGCAAAAAGGGAAAAGAAAAAAGAAGAAGCCUGGGGCAAAAAAAGAGAGAAUAACAUCCAAAGGACAUGGAUGGAUGGAUAGGAAAAGAAAAUUGCAUUUCAGAGCAAAUACACAUCGUGAGAAAAUCAAGAGCAAAAAAGCAAAGCCAAAGAAUGACAGGAUUAUCUAUACUGUGUGUUACUAAGGUAUUAGAAUAUUAAACAAAACUGGGGACUGGUGCUCUGUCUACUAAGAAAAAGAAUGGAGUCUUCUCUUCCUCAUUUGGAGCAGAAAUCAAG